AAACUUUCAACAACGGAUCUCUUGGUUCUGGCAUCGAUGAAGAACGCAGCAAAAUGCGAUAAGUAAUGUGAAUUGCAGAAUUCAGUGAAUCAUCGAAUCUUUGAACGCACAUUGCGCCCUCUGGUAUUCCGGGGGGCAUGCCUGUUCGAGCGUCAUUA
RNAcentral lists this ribosomal RNA (158 nucleotides) under Bacidia hostheleoides. RNAcentral describes it as "5.8S ribosomal RNA". It matches the Rfam family "5.8S ribosomal RNA". Rfam says of the family: 5.8S ribosomal RNA (5.8S rRNA) is a component of the large subunit of the eukaryotic ribosome. It is transcribed by RNA polymerase I as part of the 45S precursor that also contains 18S and 28S rRNA. Lineage: Eukaryota; Fungi; Ascomycota; Lecanoromycetes; Lecanorales; Ramalinaceae. The record is from RNAcentral.